Molecule: unclassified non-coding RNA, 391 nt
Filed under: soil metagenome
Description: partial contains 5.8S ribosomal RNA, internal transcribed spacer 2, and large subunit ribosomal RNA
Rfam family: 5.8S ribosomal RNA (bases 1-122)
Source: RNAcentral
GAUGAAGAACGUAGCGAAAUGCGAUACUUGGUGUGAAUUGCAGAAUCCCGUGAACCAUCGAGUCUUUGAACGCAAGUUGCGCCCGAAGCCAUUAGGCCGAGGGCACGCCUGCCUGGGCGUCACACGUCGUUGCCCCCCCAUCUACUCCUUCGGGAUUGCGGGGGGCGGAUGAUGGCCUCCCGUGCGCCUCGCCGCGCGGUUGGCAUAAAUGCCAAGUCCUCGGCGACGCACGCCACGUCAAUCGGUGGUUGCGAAACCUCGGUUGCCCGUCGUGUGCGGUCGUCGCGCAUCGAGGGCUCGAAAAAAUUGCCGGGUUCCGGCUCGGCUUUCAACGCGACCCCAGGUCAGGCGGGGUUACCCGCUGAAUUUAAGCAUAUCAAUAAGCGGAGGA